RNAcentral lists this unclassified non-coding RNA (658 nucleotides) under Hevea brasiliensis (rubber tree). The record is from RNAcentral. Lineage: Eukaryota; Viridiplantae; Streptophyta; Magnoliopsida; Malpighiales; Euphorbiaceae.
UUUUUUUAUUGUGUUUUCAUUGAAACUGAACGCCCCUAAUUCUGUUAGGGAUGAGAUUGGUUGCAUGACCUUUAGAGAGAGAUCCCUUAUAGCUUCGAUGGUAUGCAACGCUGCUAACUUGAGGAUGUCGAACCCCUUUCGUCCAUUUUUUUUUGGCGUGGAUGAUCCGAAUAGCCUAGAGUUUUCUUGCUUUUGGGUCCUCUAAAUCUAUUGUUUAGUAGGCUAGGCUGUAGAGUCCUGGUAGGUUUUCUUUCUAUUGUGGGUCAUAGGCCUUCCAUGCUUUGUUUGGGCCUCGAGCCUUGAGUCUGAAUUGCUUUUUUCAUUGCAAUGAAAGACUCUUUACCUUGAAAAAAAAAAUAAUUCAAUGGACACAGUGACACAGAGAUAUAAGAUUCCUGAUGAUCACGUGCACAUCAGUCACAUCCAUCUGCAGCAGAUUCUCACUUUUAUGCACAUGAAGAACCCUGGCAAACUCCUAAUUAAUUGAUUAAUUCCAUAGAAAUAGAAAAAUCAAUACCCAUAAUCAUCAAGGUACCAUAUGUAUUAUCUCACACUGAUCUCUAUAACGACAACAGUACUGCAUUUCAAAACAAAACAACUAAUUAAUUAAAACCCACAUAGUAAUUAAUUAACUCUUAAUCAUACUUAAUCAGCGAUG